Long non-coding RNA from Populus euphratica (Euphrates poplar), 981 nucleotides. RefSeq lists it as uncharacterized. The transcript is spliced from 3 exons. The record is from RefSeq and is a predicted model, not a curated record. NCBI's taxonomy places the organism in Eukaryota, Viridiplantae, Streptophyta, Magnoliopsida, Malpighiales, Salicaceae.
UUGCCUUGGCCCUGAGAGGUAAAUUACACAUAGCAACUAUAAAUGAUAGAUUAUGGAUCAUAAAAACAUUAAAAUGUACUGUCAAACCAGUUUGUAUGAAGAACUUGAAAUGAUUUAGUUUAUGUAUAGGAUUAUCCCCUUCCGAAGAAACUAAGGGCGAAAUUCAGGAAACAACCGAACAAAAUGAUGUUUAUCUGAGAUUUUUUUUUUUUUAGCUUUCUGGUGGGUGGCGUCCAUUAAUGUUUCAAUAGCUCUUGCUCUCAGGAAUGACAAAGAAUGAAUAGCCUUGAGCAAGGCCAUGUGUUCCUAGGGUUCUUGAUUUUCUUUCCUCGCAAACCCCAGGGAUUAAUGUGGCCAGUUGGUGUUGAGGCCCUCCAUAUUUUAAGCUUCUGCAGAUUGGCUCAGCUGGUCCGUUUUUGUUUAACACGCUUUUCCUUAAUGCAGAUAAGACCCAGUUAUGUGGGUGGUCUUGUCGAGCUUGUACGGAAGGAGAGAAAUGACCCAAGAAUAGACUGGGGAAAUUAAAGAUGACGCACCCCCACAUCCUCGCAAACCAAACCGGGCUAUUUAUGUUCGGUUAGCGAGGGACAAGCAUGGCGAUACUCUGUUGACAUUGGCUGGCUAUGGUGCAUAAUCUCCUGUCGCAAGGUACAAGCAAGAAGAGCGAGGUCUCCGGAACGAGCAUUAGCAUGAUUUGCAGAAUGUGGAUUUUACUGGGCUGUGGCUGAGGUAAAGAUAAACAGCAGAUCAGCAAAUUGAAAUGCAAUCUUGCUCUGACAGCAAGGAAGACAACAAGCAACAAGUUAUUCGCCGUCUCAAUCCAGUAUGAGCGACGGACCACUCGCCUUUUGUUGUAUGCUAGCCCUUUAUUCAAGUCCUGGACGUUUUGGAUUCUGGGGUCAUUAAUUUCAUAAAAAACCAAAGUUGUCGUUAAAAAGAAUCACUCCUUGCUUUUGUGGAUGUUGAAUUUGGGUGGCUGGA